RNAcentral lists this unclassified non-coding RNA (316 nucleotides) under uncultured fungus. Its description in RNAcentral is "sequence contains ITS2". The stretch from base 1 to 52 matches the Rfam family "5.8S ribosomal RNA", at positions 103 to 154 of the family's 154-position model. Lineage: Eukaryota; Fungi. The record is from RNAcentral.
AACGCACCUUGCGCUCUCUGGUAUUCCGGAGAGCAUGCCUGUUUGAGUGUCAUGAACUCUUCAACCCGCCAGUUCCUUGUUGAACUGUGUCGGUGUUUGGAUUCUGAGCGUUUGCAGUUUUUAGUAACUGCUCGUUCGUAAUACAUUAGCAUCUCAAUUUCGAACUUCGGAUUGACUCAGUGUAAUAGACUAUUCGCUGAGGAAUUCGCCGCAAGGUGAAUAGCCGAACAGUAGAUACCUCGGAAGCUACGAACCCUUCUAGUCAAACCUUUUAAGAUUAGACCUCAGAUCAGGCAGGAUUACCCGCUGAACUUAA